RNAcentral lists this ribosomal RNA (997 nucleotides) under uncultured organism. Its description in RNAcentral is "bacterial SSU rRNA". It matches the Rfam family "Bacterial small subunit ribosomal RNA", at positions 355 to 1375 of the family's 1533-position model. The record is from RNAcentral.
UGGGGAAUAUUGCACAAUGGGGGAAACCCUGAUGCAGCGACGCCGCGUGAGUGAUGAAGUAUUUCGGUAUGUAAAACUCUAUCAGCAGGGAAGAUAAUGACGGUACCUGACUAAGAAGCACCGGCUAACUACGUGCCAGCAGCCGCGGUAAAACGUAGGGUGCAAGCGUUGUCCGGAAUUACUGGGUGUAAAGGGAGCGCAGGCGGGAAGACAAGUUGGAAGUGAAAACCAUGGGCUCAACCCAUGAAUUGCUUUCAAAACUGUUUUUCUUGAGUAGUGCAGAGGUAGAUGGAAUUCCCGGUGUAGCGGUGGAAUGCGUAGAUAUCGGGAGGAACACCAGUGGCGAAGGCGGUCUACUGGGCACCAACUGACGCUGAGGCUCGAAAGCAUGGGUAGCAAACAGGAUUAGAUACCCUGGUAGUCCAUGCCGUAAACGAUGAUUACUAGGUGUUGGGGGAUUGACCCCCUCAGUGCCGCAGUUAACACAAUAAGUAAUCCACCUGGGGAGUACGACCGCAAGGUUGAAACUCAAAGGAAUUGACGGGGGCCCGCACAAGCAGUGGAGUAUGUGGUUUAAUUCGAAGCAACGCGAAGAACCUUACCAGGUCUUGACAUCCGAUGCAUAGCACAGAGAUGUGUGAAAUCCUUCGGGACAUCGAGACAGGUGGUGCAUGGUUGUCGUCAGCUCGUGUCGUGAGAUGUUGGGUUAAGUCCCGCAACGAGCGCAACCCUUAUUGCCAGUUACUACGUUAAGAGGACUCUGGCGAGACUGCCGUUGACAAAACGGAGGAAGGUGGGGAUGACGUCAAAUCAUCAUGCCCUUUAUGACCUGGGCUACACACGUACUACAAUGGCGUUAAACAAAGAGAAGCAAGACCGCGAGGUGGAGCAAAACUCAAAAACAACGUCUCAGUUCAGAUUGCAGGCUGCAACUCGCCUGCAUGAAGUCGGAAUUGCUAGUAAUCGCGGAUCAGCAUGCCGCGGUGAAUACGUUCCC